Molecule: ribosomal RNA, 429 nt
Filed under: Actinomycetes bacterium
Lineage: Bacteria; Bacillati; Actinomycetota; Actinomycetes
Description: Actinobacteria bacterium partial 16S ribosomal RNA
Rfam family: Bacterial small subunit ribosomal RNA
Source: RNAcentral
UAGGGAAUCUUCCGCAAUGUGCGUAAGCCUGACGGAGCAACGCUGCGUGAGUGAUGAAGGUCUUCGGAUCGUAAAACUUUGUUAUUAGGGAAGAACAAAUGUGUAAGUAACUAUGCACGUCUUGACGGUACCUAAUCAGAAAGCCACGGCUAACUACGUGCCAGCAGCCGCGGUAAUACGUAGGUGGCAAGCGUUAUCCGGAAUUAUUGAGCGUAAAGCGCGCGUAGGCGGUUUUUUAAGUCUGAUGUGAAAGCCCACGACUCAACCGUAGAGGGUCAUUGGAAACUGGAAAACAUGAGUUCAGAAAAGGAAAGUGGUAUUCCAUGUGUAGCGGUGAAAUACACAGAGAUAUGGAGGAACACCAGUGGCGAAGGCGACUUACUGGUCUGUAACUGACGCUAAUGUGCGAAAGCGGGGGGAUCAAACAGG